AAAGGCACUGCCUUGUGCUGGGUGAAUGAUGUGUCCUUUGCCACGCCAUGACUGUUGAGCCACAGAGGAGGGGCCCGUGAAGUCAGGUCAACAUUUAUUGAGCACCUACUGCAUGCCUGGCUUUGGGAAAGGCCAAGAGACCCCCGGAGGGGCUUGUGGGGCAGGAGCAGCCUGGUCAGGACCAGGGUUCCACUUCCCCCAGGGGCAGGCUGAGCUUGCAGGGCCAGAUGACACUCCCCUCGGUGCCUGCCAGCAGCACCCACUGUGGGGUAACCGGAGCCACCCCGACCCCCCUCAAGAGGCUGAGGUUGUGAGUUAUUCUCAGUGAUGACCUUUCCCCGAACUGCAGCCGCAGUCUGAAAAGGCCAAGGGGCAGGGUGAGGCAGAAGGUGAGCCUGGGCAGGCCUGGCAAGGAGCCGCAGGAGCAGCUGGAGGGUGGCAGAGAGGAGGCGCCAGGCCUGGGGCCUGGGGGCCCUUGCCGGGCAGCUUGCAGAGCAAACCUUGCCUGAGUGGCAGAGCUGCAGGCCCCUCUAGCGACAGGUGGUCACAUGGGCUCAUCUCUGCUAGAGCCACCGCUGGUGCUGAGCAGUGAGCAGGCGCUUUCCUUGCAGCUUGCCUGAUGCAGCGGGGGUGUGAGAAUCUGGCUGUCGAUUGCAGGGGAGACUUGGGGGGGCGGGGGCGCAGUGCAGGGUUGGUGUGGGUGUUCUGAAUGCAGUGGGCGUGGCUCUAACAUGCGACCGCGGCAGGCACAGCAAAGAGGGCAUUGUCCAAUCAAGGCUUUCCCCAUUGGGGCUGUUUCGAGGCCUUUAGACAGGAAGCUCUUGGCUUGGUGGCAGCACCACAGAUGAAACCUCCUUUGAACGCUCUGAAGGCCUUGGAGUAUGGAAGAGAAUGAAAGCCAAACCCCCUAAGGCAUCUAUUGUGUGUAAUGAGUUAACUUCUUUCUAGAAUGGGACUAGUUAUGUGCCAUCCUUGGAAGAAUUGAGAAGAGUCACUCAAAUCACUUUCUGCGUCCUGUGGCUCAGAUGAGGAACCGCGGUCGAGCGAGACUGUGCAGCUUCUAACAAAUGUUGCAUGCCUGAUAAAGGAGGGGAGGCACCUUCCACCUCCUUCCUGGGAUCUGGAGCCUGAGCAGAUGGUGGUCAGAGACGUGUGGGUGCUCCUGCUGGUCAGGGAGCCUCACCGAGCAGGGCUGUGUCCCAGUCUGGGUUUUCAUUGCCCGUAACCAGCCGGCAUGCAGAGAUGAGUUGGGGUGUGGCUUAGGGAGAGGCCUGGGUCUCCCAGGUAAGGCCUGGGAAUGACACCUGGGCACGAGAACGUGGGGCCUGGGCUGAGUGAGGCCUGAGAGGCCAGGGUGGGCACAGGGGAAGCCUCAUGGGCCUAGCCAGAUGUACCCACACACAGCAGCUGGAGGAGGGACCUGCCUGGGUCAGUAAGGUAUGUAUUGCUGAAUCGAGAAGGUGACAUCUGAGGAGCCAGGGAGACAGAGACAGGGGAGGUUUCUGGAGCUAAGGUCUGUCAGAUGAGAUAGAGGAGUGAGGACAGACAUAGGGAUAUUGCACUGGCUCUGAGGUAAGACCGGAAGAGUCCAGUCUGGCAGAGGUACGUAUACGUGGUGAGGCCCGGUCUGUUGGGGUCGGUCAUGGGCAGCCUUGUGUGUCGGGAUCAGGCAGAGCUGUGGUGGUAAGGGGUGAGAUCUCUCAGGGCUCAACCAGCGUCAGCACAUAUUGGGGAACUAAUUUUGGCUGGUGAGGUCUGAAGAGGAGCCAGGACAGGUAAAAGUACAGGUGAGGUCUGUGAAUUCUGGAGGAGACGCAGGUAUUUAGAGAUGGUUCUCUAAGUGAAGCCUGAGGAGCAGGAGUCACAUACGGGUACUUAAACCUGGAUCUGUGAGUUGAGGUUUGGUUCCAUGGCGUGUGACAGGUGUACACAUUGGGGUCUCUGACUGGUUCUGAGAAGUGAGUGCCAGGUAGUGGGUGGCUGAUCACUCAAUUGAGGUGAUUAGAACUCAGGAUUAGGCAAACGUGUCAGUGCCCUGGGCCAGUUCGGCCACCUGGUUCUCAGCAUCCUGACCCAGUGUGAUGGGCGGAGCUCUGGGUGUUGGCGAGUCCUCUUAGCAUCCAUAACCAGCCCAAGGUGUGGUCUGUGGCGUUGGGGUCUGGCUGGGGUGGAGUUUGAGGCGCCUGGGUGAGGGAGAGGUGGGAAUGCACCUAGAAUAAAAGAGGAGGCCUGGGGAGCCGGGGCAGGUGAACAGACUGAGCAGCUGUGUCAGUGAAGUGCGGCCUGAGAGGCUCCUGGUAGAUAAACGUCUAGACCCGUGUCUGCAGGGGCGAGAUGCCCGAGGCGCAAGUUGCUCAGACACUGUUUGGCACCAGUGGGCUCUCGCCAGGCUUCCCUCACACUGGGGUGAGCAGCUCGAAGUCUGUCAGGUUGAGGGAAGUGUCUGUUCAGCUGAGUUUUCUAUGCUGGAGUCUGCCGGGGAUGGUCUCUAGAGCGACGUCUGCCUGAGGCCUCAGAAGCUGGAAUGAGGUAAGGUGUGGAUAAGUAGGUUUCUUAGGGGAGGCCUGAGGAGCCGAGAUUAGGCACAUGUAGGUAGAACUGGGGUGGUCCAGGACGGACGCUGGAGCCAAAGGUUGGCAGAGGCACAGCUGAGUCUGACAAGUGAGGACUAGAAAUCCGUGACCGAGCCCAGGUCAGAACUCUGUCGUCAGCUGAUGUCUGAGCUGUUCUGGUGAUGCACAGGUGAAUGGGAAAGACUGAAAAGCUGGCGUCAGGCAAAGGGAUGAAGAACUGCACCCACCUGGAAGGUUCAUGAAUUCUGGGUCUGGCUCAGGUGUGUAGAGCAGGUCUGUCAGGUGAGGUUUGAGGAGUUGAGAUGAGAUACAGGUUUGUACUUUGGGGUCUCAAACAGGUAAGGUUUCUGAGCUACCAAAGUCAGGCCCUGGUCUGUGUUCCAAAUCUGAGGAGCUGGGGUCAAGCACAAGUGGGUAGAGCUGAGUUUUUCAGGUAAUGUCUAUGAAACCAAAGGCAAGCAGAGGUAGGUUGACUGGAAAAGCCAUGGUUAGGUUCAUUCAACUCUGUCUCACAGUUGAGCUCAGGGACAGGUAAGUAGAGCAGAUCUGUCAGGUGAGGCCUGAGGAGCCAGAGUUGGCCUCAUCUAGAAAGAACUGGAUCUCUUCGAUGACCCUGGAGAAUAUGAAGUGAAGACAGGUGGCUUGAGCUAGGUCUCUUAGGUGAGUCUGAGGAGCUGAGUUGGGGCGUAAGUGAGUGGAUGUGGAUCUCCCGGAACUGCAUCUCUACCCAUCUUGUGGAGGCAUCUUGUGAGGGUGAGGGCUCGUGGCCAGGCACAGCUUUGUGGAAUUGAGUUUCUCAGUAAGGUCUGUGGAUUCUGUCGCUGGCACAGUUCUUAUCCUUGGGUUUGUCAGCAUAAGUUAAGCACAGGUGGAUAGAGCAGGGUUUGUCAGGUAAGGUCUGUGGAGCCAGGAUCUGAGCAGAUUCACAACACUAGGGCGGUCCAGUGAGACCCAAAAAGUCACAGUCAAGCCCAGGUAAGAACUCGAUGUCUUAGAUGAGAUGCGAGUAGCCGAGAUGAGGUUUGGGUAGGCAGAGCUGGCCCACCAGGUCUAGUCUCAGGAGCUGGGAGCAAGCACAGGUAGGCAGAAGUGGCCCUCCAGUGUAGUCUCAUGAGCCAAGGUCAACACAGGUAGGUGAAACUGGUCCAUCAGGUGUGGUCUGAGGACCCAGGAUCAAGCACAGGUAGGCAGAGCUGGCCCUCCAGGUGUGGUGUAAGGAGCCAAGGUCAAGCACAGGUAGGUAGAAUUGGCCUGCCAGGUGUAGUCUGAGGACCCAGGAUCAAGCACAGGUAGGCAGAGCUGGCCCUCCAGGUAUGGUGUGAGGACCCAGGGUCAAGCCAUAAGUAGGAAGCGUUGACCCUCCACGUGAAGUCUGAGGAGCCAGGGUCAAGCACAGGUAGGCAGAGCUGACCACCCAGUGUGGUCUGAGGAGCCAAGGUCAAGCACAGGUAGGCAGAGCUGACCUACUAGGUACAGUUUAAGGACCCAGCAUCAUGUACAGGUAGGUGGAGCUGGCCCACCAGCUGCAGUGUAAGGAGCCAAGAUCAAGCACAGGUAGGCAGAGCUGGUCCCCCACAUGUGGUCUGAGGUCCCAGGAUCAAGCACAGGUAGGCAGAGCUUUUCCUCCAGGUAUGGUCUGAGGACCCAGGGUCAAGUCAUAGGUAGGAAGAGUUGGCCCGCCAGGUGAAGCCUGAAGAGCCAGGGUCAAGCACAGGUAGGCAGAGCUGACCCACUAGGUACAGUUUAAGGAGUGGGGGUCAUGUACAGGUAGGCAGAGCUGGCCCGCCAGGCAUGGUUUGAGGAGCCAGGGUCAUGUACAGGUAGGCAGAGCUGGCCCGCCAGGCAUGGUUUGAGGAGCCAGGGUCACGUACGGGUAGGCAGAGGUGGUCCCCCAGGUGUGCUCUGAGGAGCCAGUGUCAGAGGCAAGUAGGCAAAGCCUGUCUGCCAAAUGUAGUGUCUUGAGGAGCUCUGAGUUAGGGUUGAACACAGGUGGGUAGAGUUGGCUCUUUCAGGUGUUGAAUUCAGAUAAAAUAGGUACCCCUGGGUCUUUGUGGUGAGGCCUGAAGAACCAGGGUUAAGCCUGGGUGGAUAGAGCAGCCUCGCAGGUCAGGCCUGCAGCUCUGGGGCCUUCUGCAGGCAGGCAGAACAUGGUGGGGCUCGUAGGAGGUCUCUGGGCCCUAAGUUAGACAUGAGUAGAUAGAUGUGGCUCUCUCAAGCAAGGACUUUGGAGCCAGACGUGUACACCUUGGUCUUGUAGGUAAAGUCCUUGGAGCAUGUUUCUGGCUCAGGUGUGUGGACCCCAAGUCUUAGAGGUUAGGCCUGGGGAGCGUGGGUUAGUCACAGGUAAGUAGAACCGCCACUCAGGUAGGGUCUGCGGAGCACAGGUAUGCAGGUAUGUUUGGGUCCAGUGAGGUCUGAGGCUUCUCAGUGAGGUGCUAGUGCCCAGGUUAAUCAGGGGUUGCUAGUGUUGGAAGUGUCUCGGAGACGUGAAGAGCUGAGUCUGACAUACAAUAGAGACCUGGGUCUCUCGAGUUAGGCCCGUUAGGGAGCCGAGGUCAAGCCCACGUAGAUACAGCUGGAUCUCUCAGGAAGGUGUGAGGAGUCUGAGCUGGGCUCAGGGAGGUGGACCUGGGUCUGUUGAUUGAGAUGUGAGGGGUGAGGCCCAGACAGGUACCUGAAGCCUGGUCCAUCAGCUGAGCUGUCUGGAGCCUGUCUCUGAUGGGUGUCUAACACUGCAGUAUGAGGUACCAGAGUCAGACAGAGGUAGGCAGAGCUAACCUUGGAGAUAGCCGUCGCAUCCAUGUCUGGCACUACUGUGUUGACCUGGCUUUGUCAGUGACUUCAUGGAGCCAGGGUCACAUGGGCAGAGGUAUGUAAACAUGAUCUUAGGUGGGUUCUUGCCCCCUGGGUUCAGGUACAAAUUGGCAUCCCUGGGCUUAUUAGGUGAAAUGGGUGGGGCAAGAUCUAGCCUGGAAACGCAUAUUUGAUGUGGCUGAUGAGGCCUGGGAAGGUGAGUCAGACACAGGUGGGACCUUCGGUGGUAGGAUCAGGCACGGUUAGAUGGGUAGCUUCAGCGUUCAUCAAGGGAAAGCCGGACUCAUUGUUGGUAUGUCUGCCUGGCGAGGUCUGGAGAGCCCUUAAGAUCGGGUACAACUGGUAGAAGGCCGUGAGCGAGGUCAGCCACCUGUUCUCAGCACCCUAGUAAGAUGCGAGGGGCAGGGCUCAGGGUGUUGCAGAGACCUGAGGAUCUAUAGUCAGUCCAAGGUGUGGUCUCUAGCAUUGGGGUCUGAUUGGCAUAGGGUCUGAGUUACCCAGGUGAAGCAAAAGAUAGCAUUAUACGUAGUUACCUAAAGUGAGGUCCUGGGCACUGGGGCAGGUGAAGUGCAGAACGUCGAACUGACUGAAGGACUGCGUCUAGAAGCUGUGAUCUGAGAGGCCCACUGCAGGUAAAGGUGAGGUCUGCAGAUCUGUGUCUGCAGGUUGAGGUCUCAGAGAGUCAAAUCAAACACUGGCAUUGCUGGGCUCUCCCAAAUGGGAGGUCUGAGGACCUGACCCCAGCCAAGGUCAGCAGCCUAGAAUCUGUCGGUCUGAGGGCUGACUGCUCAGUCUAGUUUCUAGAAUUGAAUGUGUUAGGUGAGAUCUGAGAGCCUAUGUAAGGCGUGGUGUGGCCUGUGGGACUGUGUUUGUCAGGUAAGGUUCCCCCAAACAUGGACCCUUUCCAGGUGAAGGGCCCCACCGUUCGUCUCAUUAGCCGAGCUGGAAACCUCUGGGCCACCCUUGGUUCUCUCAUUUUUCCAAUUCAUUCUGUUAGUUGAACCCUCUGAAUCAGUCCUUUGCACUCCCUUGUCCAGCGUGGCGUCAUUCUCUGGACGACCACUGGGGGCCCCUGCGUGGUUUUCUGCUUCCAUUAUCACUGCACCCACAGACUUCUUGGUUCUCCAGUUGGCCUCUCACCGUCUUCCCUUUAGUCCUCACUCCUUCCUUCCUCUUCUAGAUUGUGCUGUGCCUCCUCCUGCCCAGCUUGUUUCAAUGGGCUUCCAGUAGAGAAUUAAGUCCUAAUGUCCCAAGGCAUCCAUUGGAUGUAAUGAAUUAGCAUUUCUUCUUUGUGUCUAGAAGGGUACUUACUGGCCUUGGACCAAACUGGGAGAAUUGAGAAGUUAAGUCACUCAAAACAUUUUCUGUGGGGCUUAAUUCUCUCGCUAUUGAGAAAGGUGGUCCUUCCACAGGACCUUUGCGUAUGCUGUUGUGGCUGCUGGAAUGCUUCUCUCUCAGUGUUUCCCUGGGUAAUGCCUGCUCAGUCUUCAGAUCCAGGCUCAAGCACCCUUCAGAUUGUUUUAAUAAUUGGUUUCAGUAUUGUAUUUCCUUUCUCUCAAGCAUUUGUAUCUCAUUUUCAUAGCUAUUUGCAUAAUUGUUUCAUUUACAUCUUUCUCCCCGUGGACUGUUUCCAUUGCCUGUGCUAGGAACAUGGUAGGUGCUCCAUAAAUAGUGGUUAGGAAGAUGUGAAUGGAGUUCUGAGGAUUCUGAUGAUACGAAGUGGAAUCGGCAAGUGUGGCAUGAGAAGGCACAGUGUGAAGGUAGGCUUAGGUAUGUCUUGGGGCUGAGGCUGAGAAGACUGGAUAAGCCCAGGUGUGAGCCACUGGGCAUGUCAGUGUCCCAGGAGGCAGGGCUAGGUACAGGUAUGAGUCACUGGGUCUGUUAGUACAGCCUGAGGAGUCGAGAAUACACACUGGGUAUGUCAGUAUCAGAAGGGACAAGGCCAGGCCAAGGUUUGAAGUACUGGGUCUGUGGGGGUCUGAGGAGGUGGGGCCAAGGGCAGGUAGGAGGUUCUGGGUGCCUAGUUGUUCAAGGAGGCAUGCUUAGGCACAGGUGUGAGGCACUGGGCCUGUUAGUCUGAGGAGGCAGGACCUGGCACAGGUAUGAGGAGCUGGGAUGUCACUGUCCAAGGAGACAGGGCCAGGCACGGGUAUGAGAAUCUUAUCUGUCAGUGUCCAAGAAGGUGGGCCUGGCACAGGUGUGGGAAGCUGGGUCUGUCGGUGUCUGAGGAGGUGGGCCGGGCACAGGUAUGAGGUGCUGGGUCUGUCAGUGUCUAGGAGGUGGGCAUGGCACAGGUAUGAGGCGCUGCAUCUGUUGGUGUCUGAGAAGGUGGGCUGGCACAGGUAUGAGGCGCUGGGUCUGUCGGUAUCUGAGGAGGUGGGCCUGGCACAGGUAUGAGGCGCUGGGUCUCUUGGUGUCUGAGGAGGUGGUCCUGGCACAGGUAUGAGGCGCUGGGUCUGUCGGUUCUGAGGAGGUGGUCCUGGCACAGGUAUGAGGCGCUGGGUCUGUUAGUGUCUAAAGAGGUGGUCCUGGCACAGGUAUGAGGCGCUGGGUCUGUCGGUAUCUGAGGAGGUGGGCCUGGCACAGGUAUGAGGCGCUGGGUCUCUUGGUGUCUGAGGAGGUGGUCCUGGCACAGGUGUGAGCUACAGGGUCUGUCGGUGUCUGAAGAGGUGGUCCUGGCACAGGUAUGAGGUGCUGGGUCUGUCGGUGUCUGAGGAGGUGGUCCUGGCACAGGUAUGAGGCGCUGGGUCUGUCGGUGUCUGAGGAGGUGGUCCUGGCACAGGUAUGAGGCGCUGGGUCUGUCAGUGUCUAAAGAGGUGGUCCUGGCACAGGUAUGAGGCGCUGAGUCUGUCGGUGUCUGAGGAGGUGGGCCUGCCACAGCCAUGAGGUGCUGAUUGUUCAGUGUUUGAAGAGGCUUGUAUGUGGCAAUGGGUCUGUCAGUGUCUAAAGAGGUGGCCCUGGCACAGGUAUGAGGCGCUGGGUCUGUCGGUUUCUGAGGAGGUGGGCCUGGCACAGGUAUGAGGUACUGGGUAUGUCUGUGUUGGAAGAGGUGGGCCUGGCACAGGUAUGAGGUGCUGGGUCUGUUGGUGUCUGAGGAGGGGGUCCUGGCACAGGUAUGAGGUGCUGGGUCUGUCGGUGUCUGAGGAGGUGGCCCUGGCACAGGUAUGAGGCGCUGGGUCCUGGUGUCUGAGGAGGUGGUCCUGGCACAGGUAUGAGGCACUGGGUCUGUCGGUGUCUGAGGAGGUGGUCCUGGCACAGGUAUGAGGCUCUGGGUCUGUCGGUGUCUGAGGAGGUGGGCCUGGCACAGGUAUGAGGCACUUGGUCUCGUGGUGUCUGAGGAGGUGGGCCUGGCACAGGUAUGAGGGGCUGUGUCCGUCAGUGUCUGCGGGGUUGGGCCUACCACAGGCAUGAGGUUCUGGAUUGUUCAGUGUUUGCAGAGGCUUGUAUGCGACAAUGGGUCUGUCAGUGUCUAAACAGGUGGCCCUGGCACAGGUAUGAGGCACUGGGUCUGUCGGUGUCUGAGGAGGUGGUCCUGGCACAGGUAUGAGGCUCUGGGUCUGUCGGUGUCUGAGGAGGUGGGCCUGGCACAGGUAUGAGGCACUUGGUCUCGUGGUGUCUGAGGAGGUGGGCCUGGCACAGGUAUGAGGGGCUGUGUCCGUCAGUGUCUGCGGGGUUGGGCCUACCACAGGCAUGAGGUUCUGGAUUGUUCAGUGUUUGCAGAGGCUUGUAUGCGACAAUGGGUCUGUCAGUGUCUAAACAGGUGGCCCUGGCACAGGUAUGAGGCACUGGGCCUGUAGGUGUCUGAGAAAGUGGGCUGGCACAGGAAUGAGGUGCAGGGUCUGUCAGUGUCUGAAGAGGUUGGGCUGACACAGGUAUGAGGCGCUGGGUCAGUCAGUGUCUGCGGCGGUGGGCCUGGCACAGGUAUGAGGCGCUGUGUCUGUCAGUGUCAGAGGAGGUGGGCCCGGCACAGGUAUGAGGCGCUGGGUCUCAUGGUGUCUGAGAAGGUGGGCUGGCACAGGUAUGAGGUGCAGGGUCUGUCAGUGUCUGAAGAGGCUGGGCUGGCACAGGUAUGAGGCGCUGGGUCUAUCUGUGUCUGAAGAGGUGGGCCUGGCACAGGUAUGAGGCACUGUGUCUGUCAGUGUCUGCGGGGUUGGGCCUGCCACAGGCAUGAGGUUCUGGAUUGUUCAGUGUUUGCAGAGGCUUGUAUGCGACAAUGGGUCUGUCAGUGUCUAAAGAGGUGGCCCUGGCACAGGUAUGAGGCGCUGGGUCUGUCGGUGUCUGAGGAGGUGGUCCUGGCACAGGUAUGAGGCUCUGGGUCUGUCGGUGUCUGAGGAGGUGGUCCUGGCACAGGUAUGAGGCACUGGGUCUGUCGGUGACUGAGGAGGUGGUCCUGGCACAGGUAUGAGGCGCUGGGUCUGUCGGUGUCUGAGGAGGUGGUCCUGGCACAGGUAUGAGGUGCAGGCUCUGUCAGUGUCUGAAGAGGUGGCCCUGGCACAGGUAUGAGGCACUGGGUGUCUUGGUGUCUGAGGAGGUGGGCCUGACACAAGUAUGAGGCACUAGGUCUCGUGGUGUCUGAGGAGGUCGUCCUGGCACAGGUAUGAGGCACUGGGUCUGUCGGUGUCUGAGAAGGUGGGCUGGCACAGGUAUGAGGUGCAGGCUCUGUCAGUGUCUGAAGAGGUGGGCCUGGCACAGGUAUGAGGGGCUGUGUCUAUCAGUGUCUGCGGGGUUGGGCCUGCCACAGGCAUGAGGUUCUGGAUUGUUCAGUGUUUGCAGAGGCUUGUAUGCGACAAUGGGUCUGUCAGUGUCUAAAUAGGUGGCCCUGGCACAGGUAUGAGGUGCUCGGUCUAUCUGUGUCUGAAGAGGUGGGCCUGGCACAGGUAUGAGGCACUGGGUCUCUUGGUGUCUCUGGAGUUGGGCCUGGCACAGGUAUGAGGCACUGGGUCUCGUGGUGUCUGAGGAGGUGGUCCUGGCACAGGUA
Molecule: non-coding RNA, 10365 nt
Organism: Equus caballus (horse)
Lineage: Eukaryota; Metazoa; Chordata; Mammalia; Perissodactyla; Equidae
Source: RefSeq, a predicted model, not a curated record